Schizosaccharomyces pombe (fission yeast) is the source of this 1487-nucleotide non-coding RNA. Lineage: Eukaryota; Fungi; Ascomycota; Schizosaccharomycetes; Schizosaccharomycetales; Schizosaccharomycetaceae. The record is from the annotation of a GenBank genome assembly.
GAAUAUCAAAAGAUGGGGGCGAUCAAAAACAACAGUCAAUGCAAGACCUUGUAAAUUCAGAGAGCAAAGAAGUUUUGUUCCUUUCCUACGAUAACUGCUUUCCAUGUUGCUUAAUUUAGGAUCUUGGAGGUGCACCAGAAGGUAAUGCGUACGGAUGAACCAUCUUUAAAACAAUGUAACAAGAAAACGAGAUGAUGCUCGCAACAGUAUAAAAGAUUGUCUUCUUUAUAGGAUCCAAAAUAGCAAGAAUGGGAUAAGCGUAAAAUUUGUUCAUUUGAUAGCAUUUCUCAACCCACAACAUGUAACUUACUGCGAUUGACAGAUAGACAAGAAGAGAAGGACCAAUAGACAAACUAAAAGGCGGUGAGAAAAAAAGGUAAUCGAUAAGUGUAUAAACGGUAGGCAUUAAAUGUACGCUAAUAUCAAAAUUCAGAGGAAGAGGCACAGGGCGAUCUUUAGGGAUUAAAAGAGACCUAUCAUAAGAAACUAUAGACCAAUACAAAAUUGAAACAAUAGUUUCCAGUGGACAAACAAUAUAAAGAAGGAUAUUUUUUAGCUUUACAAGUGUCAAGGAACCAGAAAUAUCAGAAAAUAAUCCUACUACCAUACUCAACAAUGUAACGGCCAGUGACAAAACAGUUCUACAUAAAGUGUUAAUAUUCAGUAAUAUUAAGUAAGGUAUCAGGCCAGACGUAUGCGCUUACAAAUGCUGAAAAUGAGAACCAUAGGACCUUCUAAUAGCAACAUCGCUAUUGUGGUUAAUCCAGUUAAACGCCCAUAUCAAAUUCGCUGUCGCAACUGUAUGCAAAAUAAAAGAAUUAAAUCGUGAACGAGAUAUAGCCGAAGACAUAUCAAUUGGGUAUUUUAACGCUACGCUUCUUACGGUUUUGGUAGUGGUAAGUUGUGUGAUUUAGGUCCGUUUCUACCAAGUGACACACCAAUGGUCAAAUAUCCCCAUACAUGAUAAAACAAGAAAUACAAUUUAUAAUGGUUUUAACUUACAAAGAAUUAAAUCGUCUAGAUACGAAACUAUCUAAUUUAGCAUCAAUAUACAGCAAAAUGUAAAAAAAAGAGAAAAAGAAGGAUAGCAAUAUUUUCGUAAAUAGUGAUUGUUAAGUGAAGACAGACCCCGUUUUACAACGUCUAAUUUCAACGGUCAAGAAUGUGCUGUAUGCAAGUAGGUAUUUGUUUGAGAGAUCAUUGUGAAAAAAGCUAUGCUAAAAUGUGGUAGCUUCUUUUAUACUAGACAUGUUUGAAUUCAAAGAUGCUUAUGCAAAGAAUCUUCUACCAGUACCUUUUUGACCGAUACCACCGACAUCACAUACCGUACAAACUUCAUUGACAUAGCCUUUAUGAUAUACGGCACCGCAAACGGAACAAACAUCAAAAUCAUCUCCAGAAUAUACAGGAGUUAAAGUCUUGGGACAAAUACGCAUUUCAACGUGUGGAUCAUAUUCGAUUUCAAAGGCAUCAUGAGGGUUUCGGUC